RNAcentral lists this ribosomal RNA (774 nucleotides) under Lepraria pacifica. Its description in RNAcentral is "SSU rRNA". It matches the Rfam family "Bacterial small subunit ribosomal RNA", at positions 378 to 1198 of the family's 1533-position model. The record is from RNAcentral. Lineage: Eukaryota; Fungi; Ascomycota; Lecanoromycetes; Lecanorales; Stereocaulaceae.
AUAGCUGAUUGCACCAACAAAUAGUUGAUGCAAUAUUGACUCUGUCAAAUAAAAUUCUAGGUAGAAUUAUGAUAAUGACAUUGUCUGCCUAUAUGUCUUGACCAAAUUACGUGCCAGCAGUCGCGGUAAUACGUAGAAGACUAGUGUUAUUCAUCUUUAAUAGGUUUAAAGGGUACCUAGACGGUAAAUCAAGCCUUCACAGGGACUAAUUUACUAGAGUUACUUACGAGGGGGUAUUAAAGUACUGCAGGUGUAGAGAUGAAAUUCUGUCAUACCUCUUUUCAAAAGAAAAAUUAUGGCACAGGUAUAGGUGAAAGCAUCCCCUUAUGUGAUAACUGACGUUGAAGGACGAAGGCUUUGUGUCGCGAACAGGAUUAGAUACCCCAGUAGUCAAAGCAGAAAAUGAUGAAUGUCAUAGAUUAGAUAAAUAGUUUAUUCUAUAAAUGAAAAUGUAAGCAUUCCACCUCAAGAGUAAUUUGGCAACAUUGGAACUGAAAUCAUUAGACCGUUUCUGAAACCAGUAGUGAAGUAUGUUGUUUAAUUUGAUGAUCCGCAAAAAACCUUACCACAAUUUGAAUAUUUAUAUCCAUCUUUUUUUUUCGUAAAAAAAUAAAAAGGUAAUAUAUUUACAAGCGUUGCACGGCUGUCUUCAGUUAAUGUCGCGAGACUUUGGUUAGUUCCAUUAAAUUAACGUAAACCCUUACUUUAUUUUUAUAUGAAGUAGUUCCCCGCUAUAUUGGAUAUGAUAACAGGGACUAAGACAAGUCAUCAUGG